Molecule: ribosomal RNA, 302 nt
Filed under: Paravaejovis confusus
Lineage: Eukaryota; Metazoa; Arthropoda; Arachnida; Scorpiones; Vaejovidae
Description: partial 16S ribosomal RNA
Source: RNAcentral
UUUGAAAUUUAUAUUUUAGUAAAAAAGCUAAAAUUAUCUAUAGGGACGAGAAGACCCUAUCAAGUUUUACAAUCCAAAAUUUAUUUUCAAAUUAAGUUUAAAAUUGUUUUGCUGGGGCAGCAGAUAAAAAUUUUUUAUUUUAAAAUUAUGAUAAAUAAAUCUUGAAAAAUCAAAAAAUUUUUAAUUAAAAAUAAAUUACUGUAGGGAUAACAGCCUAAUUUUUUUAGAGAGUUCUUAUCAUCAAAAAAGUUUGUGACCUCGAUGUUGGAUUAAAAUUCCUAAUUCGUGCAAUAAUGAAAUAA